UGAUAUUAAAAAAAACUUUGUUUUCGUUUAACAUUCUCAUAUAGUUCAAAAGAUACACACAGAGAAAGGAUAUGAACGUAUUAAAUAAUAGCUUACACACACGAGAGAAAGACAAACUUGAAAGCAAAGUGUUUUGACUCGAAACAAUGAAUUUUAUUUGUCAUGAGACAUUUGAAAUUAUAAAAAUAGAUUUUUUUUUUUUUUGGAUAAUAUUUUGGUAAUACACCAUUGCCCAUUUCAAACACCCAAGAUCUAAGACACACAAAAAAAAAAAAAAAAAAAUCUUGGGAAAAAGUUCGGAAAAAAAAAACAGGCAAUAAUAUAGUCCCAAAAAUAAAAUCCUUUUCUUUUAUUUUUUGAAAAUAAGAAAUUUUUAAAACCUUGAAUAAUAUAUAAGAAAAUGAGAACUAUACUUCUUCAGGCCAUUCAAUGACACUCUUCAACGAUGGUUUCCACUUCCGACAUAACUUCCGGCGAGAUUUCUCUUCUUCGACAGCCGCAGCCGCGGCCUCUCCGGCCAAUCUUUCCGCCUCAAGUUCUCUAAGAAAAUCUCCAAAAGAAGCCAAAGUACAAUCUCCUCCUUUGUCUGCGUUAAUUUGGAAAAAUAUGAGUUUCUCUAACUCAUCUCUCGUUAGAACAAUCUUCACUUUCCGAUCUUUGCUUUUGUAAUCUUUCUUCGUCACUUCUUCUUCAUAUUUCUCUUCUUCUUCUUGAUGAUCAGCAACUUUUUCAUUGUUUCUUCCGACUAAACAGUUUCCCAUUAUGAUCACUUUAUAAUGGAGUUUUAAUACCCACGUACACACAAAAAAAAUAAAGGAGAAAGAUAACAAAAAAGGAAACUUGGGAUAGAUACACCCAAGAAAAAAAGAAACCUUUCCUCUUGUUCUUCUUCCUUUGUUUCUCUUCUGUGUAGUUUGAUUUGGAUCUUGAAGUAUCAUGGAGCCAUUAAGGUAUUAUAUAUAAUAUGCGUUAUGAACAAAGAGAGGAAGAGGGAGAGAGAGAGAGAUCGUUGACUCCUAUUGUAAUUAAGCUGCUAGAUUAUAUUAGUUGGUUUUUAAUUUAGUUUUAGGUUUGAAAUGGUGAGGGCGCCGUUUAAACUUAUCAAAGUCACAACUCACAGCAGUUGAUCCAUGCAUAAUAGAUUACGUACGUACAUAGUAACAGUGAGUUGCGUGGUGCGAUCAAAACAAUAUUUUUUACGUGUACAUAUUAUAAUGAGAUUGAGUAUAAUUAGAUAUAGUCUACAUAGAUUUUUUUUUGGUAAAUAUAGUCUACAUAGAAUGAAAAACUGUUAACUACUUAUAAAAUGUAGCCAUAUCUAUUAACGAUUAAUGGUAUUACUAUCACCUCACCACGCUAACAAACUAUAAUUUUACGUGUUCAUAUUACACAGAACUAUGACGUAAUGACUCUACAUGUAUGGGAAAUUCGAGAUCAACCAAGAGAUCGACCGUCGAAAUAAUAACCAACAAUAUAAAACUAUUUAUAGAUUUAGAAAAGGUUAUUUUCCGAUAAUUUGCAUAUGUAUUAAAUUAUAUGUAAAAAAAUCAUAGAUUUUCAUACUCAAUAUAUAUAGGUUUAGUCGUAAUCAUAACAAAACCUGAAAUUCUAAGUUCAUAUAAUGAGAUUGAGUAUGAAUGGUAUUUGCUAUCAAUAUCAUGAAUGGAAUAAAUUAAACUUAAAUCAACAAACCAAAUAACCAAUCGUCCUAUAUUUUGCAUAGGAUGAGUGUGGUACCAAUUCUGAAUUUCUGAUCAUUUUUUUUUUUUGGCGUCUAGAUAUUUCUAUUAUUAUUUACGUAGAUUUCAAAUAUUUUAUAUUAAAAUUACUAGUAAAAAAAUAUUAUUGUAAGAAGAAGACAUUGUAACGUAAGCACAUGUUCUGUCUGAUUAGUUGGAUCUUUGAACCAAACCAAAACCGUGUUAAAUAAAUCCUGGCAAAUUUCAUUUGUAAUUGUACCAACUACCAACCUACCUUAUUAUUUAAUUUUUUGUUAAUGAUCAUAUCAUUAGAUUCUAUAAUAAACUAAAUGUUCCAGUUUGAAAGAACUCAAUUAUUCAUUUUUUCAUUUAUUUAAUAAUCUUGAUCAUUCUUGUUAGUUAUAUUACAAUUGGAAGUUGUAGUUUUACGUAGUCUUCUUAGAUAUAAUUUCAAACCUCAAAAUGAUUAGCCGUAUAAUGUCAAACAUUUGUAAGUAUAAUAUAUCAACCGGAAAACAAACAAAAACUGGAACCUUAUUGCAAUGCGAUACUCCAAUCAUUGAAUUUGUUCUUAACAUAAUUCAUAACAUAAUAAUUAUUUGUAUUUUUGAUAAUUGGAUUCUAAUUGGGGGGAAUUUCAAAAAUACCCAUUUUCCAAUACCACUUUUUAAAAAUACCUCUCUUUCUAAUUUUAUCAAAAAGUCACUAUCAAAUUUAAAAUUUAUCAAAACAAUAUGUGUAACCUUAUAUUUAUAGACACAAAUUAUCUUCAUAUAUGUGUAAAUUUAUAUAUAUAUAUAUAUAUAUAUAUAUAUAUAUUUCAUAAAUAUCGUAUAAAUACCUUUUAAAAUCAUUUAAAACCCUUAUAAAUACCUUUUAAAAACCUUAUAAAAACCUUAUAAAUGCCGUUUACAACCUUUUAAACCCUUAUAAAUAUUUGGUUUUAGUCUCCUCAUAGUAAUGAUGAUCUUGAUGCACCUUAUCAACCAUAUAAAAGUUUAUAAUUUUUCAUAUUUGAAAAUGGGUAUUUUUGAAAAUGGAUAGAAAGAGGGGUAUUUUUAAAAAUAAUUACACCAAAAGGGAUAUUUCUCAAAAAUUGUCUUCUAAUUAAGAAAAAGAAGAAAAAAAACGUAACUGGAUAAUGAUAUAAUUUAAUUAUUAAUAAAUCGGCUUGUAAAUAUAAGAGUAAUUUCUGCUAUCGAAGAGACGCUUUCAUAAACCCUUACGCGUUGUAUGAUUGAUUCAAUGCACCAAAAUCUUAUAAGGAAAACUUCUUACAAAUGGGUAAAGCUAGUGAUGGGCCUGAUGGCACAGUAUACCAUCCUAGUCCUCAGUGAUUCUUCUGUUCCUAUCAUGCCAACUACCAAGUUUCAAUCUUUGGCCCAGAAAGCUUAUUGACAAAAAAUUGUAGAAAUUGGUCAUUUACUUUUAUGAAGUAAAAGGCCAUAUCAAAACAGAAUAUGAAUUCGUGUUUUUGAGGGAAAACUACGGAAUUAUGUUUUUUUUUUGGCGAAAAAACUAUGAAAUUAUGUUUUUGGAUUAUGAAUCUAUAUAUUUGGUAUUAAAAUUACCAAAUAACAUUUUUUAUGGAAAAACGUAUUCACAUUUUUUUGACAGGAAAAUGUGAAGUUGUAUUCUUUCAAAAAAAUUGUGAAAUUAUGUAUAUGUCAUGAAAAAAUUAUCUAAUUCCCUAAAACCAUCAUUGUUGAGGGUCUCUUAACAAAUUUUAGAGCUAAGAUUUGUUAAGAAAUAACUUUUAUAUAAAGACCGUCAAUAAUGAUUUGUUAAGAGACCAUCAAUAAGAAUAAGAAUGGUCGAGGAUUAAUAAGUUUGUCUCUUAGUUAAUUCACUUAAUCACUUAAGCAUUGAUUCAAAUACAUGUUUAUGAUAUAUUGUGCUGAACUGGUCUCACUAUAUAUUUUCUAUUUCUCGUUUUCUAGAUCAUAUGGUUAGCUUAGCUUGUAUUAUUUCAAGAACUCUUUUUGUUUCCUCAUAUUAGGCAACAAACAAAAUAUUUUGCUCAACAAAAAUGCAAUCUACAUAACAAAUUUUACUUUUCGAUGUUAUGCAUUUCAUAUGGUCAGGUCCCAACAUAUAAUAAUUCAAAGAACAAAAAAGUGGUAAACAAAAAUUAAACAAUGAAACACAAAACACGUUGUACAAACGUUUUGGAUUUUAGUAUAUAGUAACUAAAUCAAUAUCUACAAAAUUACAAGAGAGUUGGCUAAUAAUUUAAACGAAGAAACACAAAACACGUUCGUAUGUUUUGUGAGACCCAGCGUGUACAGUCUAUGUAGCCAUGUGAUAGCCUUAUACGUGGUUGCUAAUUCAAGACCAACUAGUAUUUAAGCGACCCUUGUCUCAUCACCAUUUCAUCAAUACAAGCUUCUUUAACUCUCUACAUACAUUUUGCGAUCAAACAACCAAUCAAAAGAAAGAUGGAAGGCAAAACUUUGAUUGUGAGUGUCCUUGUUAUGAGUCUGUUCAUGGCACAAAUUCAAGUUGACGCAAAGAGUUGCUGUCCAUCCAUCACUAGUAGAAAUUUCUAUAAAUCUUGUUGCAUAGUAGGAUUUCCCAUAGGAAAGUGUGCAAAGCUUAGUGGCUGCAAAAUCAUUACUGGUACAACAUGUCCUAACGGAUAUUCAAAGGACAUUCUCGAAAACACAAGUAAAUAAAUUGAUUAAUAUUUUGUUUUUUUUUACGUAUGUUAUUUGUUUCACGAAGGAACAAGAUUUCAAUUUUUUUUUUAUGUGUUUUGAAUUAUUGUCUUAAGGUACUGAUAAUGUCGGCGAAUACUGCAAAAUUGGGUGUGUGUCCUCUGUGUGCGGUACUUUAACCACUCUCCAAAAUUCUGGUAAAACUAGUUUACCAAUCAAUUUUAUUACUACAAUCAUUUUUUUUUUUUUUUUAAUAAUCGAAAUAUAAUCAGUUCAAAUUUUGUUUGAAUGAUUAGAUGCAAGUGAAACCGUGAAAGGAGCAGUUGAAAAAUGUACCAACGCUUGUUCUAUGGUGUGCACCAAAAGCAGCUCAGUGAGUGCAGUUGAAAAUGCCUAGUGAACUAUAUCCAUGAUCAAGAUACCACGUAUGAAGAGACACUCAUCUUUCACACUGUUGUUUUCAUGUUUUCAAUAAUUGUCGUGUAUAUGACAAAAAUGUUAAAACUCUCAUGCUAGUUUAUGUACGUGCGUUAAAGGUUAUCAAUCUCUAGAUUGUAUAUGCCUUGCAUGUUAUCUUUUAAAAAAUAAAUAAUAUGUUUGUUUUCUCAUCUUAUUCUUUUUUUUUUUUUUUUAACACUGAAUCAUACGAUUUUAUUAAACCAAAAAUGUUGAAACAGACUAAUAAAACCAAUAAUAAAACAAGAGAUUCCAACUACUAUAAGCUUGCUCGUUUCUCUUGGAUAAUCUUCUCAUGCAGCCACGAAGGUCCACCUAAAGCAACAUAGGAAGUGAGUCGACCAUCUCUGGUAACACUCUGCGCAAUAUCUCUCACCAAACCAUUUGCCUUGACAGCAGACACUUGAAAGGAGAUCUCACUCAUUGAAUUAAGAACCCCAAAGAUCUUGUCCAAAAGAGAAUGGUAUUUGGGCCAGGCUUUCGGAGACGCCAGUGCUUCAAGAGCAGCUUUGCAGUCCGACCAAACCUCACAUGAAAGAAUACGAAGAUCCUUAAUGCUUUGCAAACACCAGAGAAUACAACUAAGCUCUGCAGCAAUUCGAUUUGUACGAGGCAGGAAAGCAUCCCGUGCGUGAAACAACACAUCACCAAGAUGGUUACGAAUUAUCCAAGCUCCUCCACAAAAAUCAUGAUCAGUCUUCCAAGAACAGUGAACAUUACAUUUUAAUCUUCCAACUGCAGGCUUAAUCCAUCGAUGUGAAAACGAAUUAGCUCGUAUACCCCCAACAUCUCUGUCCACAUUAUGGAGGUUUUGCUGCAAGAACCAUUCCUCGGCCUCAUUGAGAGCCUUAGCUAACAAAAUGUUGUGAUUCUGAGCUUGUCCUGCAAAAAUAAAACUAUUUCGUGCCUUCCACGUCUCCCAAAGAACCCAUGGAAUCGCAGCUCGUUGAGGCGCCGGUAAAUCCAUUCUAUCCAUUAAACUAAGGAGAUGAUCUAAGUUUUCUGGAAAACUCAAUGAAAACCCAUUCACCGGCAGUGGGAGAAAAUUAGAAGACCAAAUCUGCCUUGCGACAGUGCAUCGAAACAGAACGUGCGGAACCGAUUCUUCUUCUAUACCACAGAUUUGGCACAUCGGGUUAACAUGAAGACCAUGAGAGCGCAAACACUCAGCAACUGCUAAUGCACCCGAAAGAGCUCUCCAUAAGAACAUACGAAUUUUCUGUUCAGUGGGAAUAUUCCACACCCGACUUUUGAUCUUGUUUAUAUGGAGCUCAUGAUCCGUUGAUUGUUCCAAGGCCUCAGCCUCGCGGUUUAAAAACCAGUACCCAUUCUUUACUGAAUAUUGGCCAUUCACUGUGAAAGCCCAAACAUAACUAUCCUGGAGAUUAAUUGCAGGCGGGAAGGAACAAAUGCGAGUCACAUCAAUAGGCAAGAAAAGCGAGUGAAGUCGAGGGAUAUCCCAUGAACCAUCCAUGUUUAUAAGAGAACAAACUUUCAGGUUCAAAUCCAUGAAGAUCUCCUUAUUAACUGGACGCCGAGGAAGCUCAUCAAAAAUCCAUUUAUCAAGCCACACACUCGUAGAUUUGCCAUCUCCAAUCGAUUUCAUCACUCCUUUUUCCAGCAUUUCUCGACCAAAAAUUAUACUGCGCCACGCAUACGAUGGUCGAUAACCCAUUUUAGCCUCUAAGAAGGUUCUGUUUGGAUAAUAGAUUGCUUUAUAAACCUUGGCUAAUAAAGACGAUGGAGAGUUUAAAAGCCUCCAUGCCUGUUUUGCAAGCAAUGCUUGGUUAAACCAACCAAUAUCACGAAAUCCCAAUCCUCCUCUUUCCUUUGAUCUACAAACUUUCUUCCAAGCAACCCAAUGCAUCUUAUUUUUCUCCUCUUGGGCAUUCCACCAAAAUUGCAUCAUGGCACUUGUAAUUUGCUUACAUUGAUGUUUAGUCAACUUAAAGCAAGACAUUGCAUAAACAGGAAGAGCCAUGGCAAUGGAUUUUAACAAAACUUCCUUCCCUCCCAAGGAGAGUGUCUUUUCAAACCAGCCACUAAGUCUUGACUUCAAUCUAUCCGUGAUAAAGCUGAGAAGGUCUCUCUUUGAUCCACUAAAGCAUUCGGGAAGUCCCAAGUACUUACCAUCUCCACCUUCUUGUUCAAUACCUAAGACAAGUCCCAGUACCCGUCUCAUAUAAGGGUCGAGUUUCUUCCCAAAAGUGAUAGCAGAUUUCUGGAAAUUAAUCUCCUGCCCCGAUGCUUUACCAUACAGUUCCAGACAUUUUAAAAAUUCAGUGCACUCUUUGAAGGUUGCUUGACAUAAGAACAAACUAUCGUCCGCAAAAAGCAAAUGUUGAAUCGAUGGACAGGAAGGUGAAGGUUUCAUUCCUGUUAAACGACCGUCAAGCUCAGCUUUAUUCAUGAUAUGCACUAACGCCUCUGCACAGAGGAUAAAGAGGAACGGGGAUAGCGGAUCCCCCUGCCUUAGUCCCCUUUGAGGUUGAAUAUAUCCAUAUGAAGCGCCAUUAAUAAGAACAGAGUAAGACACCGAGGUAACACAACUCAUUAUCCAUUUCACCCACUUGAUAUCAAAACCUAACCGUAUAAGUAAUUCUUCUAAGAAGGCCCAUUCAACACGGUCAUAAGCUUUAGACAUAUCCGUCUUGAUAGCCAUGAAAUCUUCAUCACAACUACUAUUAGUUUUCAAGGCAUGAAUCAGUUCAUGUGCAAGUAAAAUAUUGUCAGAGAUCAACCGUCCUGAUACAAAAGCUCCUUGUGUGUCUGAGAUAAUAGAAGGUAAUAUGAGCUUUAACCGAUUACACAAAACCUUGGAGACAACCUUGUACAGAACCGAGCAGAGACUAAUAGGCCGGAGAUCAGUCAUCUUUGAUGGAUUUACCUUCUUUGGGAUUAAACAAAUCUGUGUAAAGUUCCACUCAGACGGUAAGGAACCUGAUUCAAAAAACUGUUGCACCUAAGAGAUGACUUGAGACCCAACAAUAUCCCAAAAAGAUUGAUAAAAAUUCCCCGUCAUGCCAUCAGCUCCCGGAGUACUGUCACCUCUAAUACUAAACACCGCCGCUUUAAUCUCCUCACUUAUCAAAGCAGAAUUCAUCUGAGCUGAAACCCGUGGGAGUAAACCAUCCAAAGCCUCAGAAAUUAGGGGUGGAGAGGAACUUGAAAACAUUUUGCGAAAAUAAUCAACAGCCACUUCCCCUUUGGAGCCUUCAGAAAACUGUUCAACACCCAUGUCAUUGAUUAGUGAAAGGAUUCUAUUCUGAACUCGACGUUGCUUUACACUCCCAUGGAAAAACCUAGUGUUCCUGUCACCUUCUCGCAACCAUUUUUCUUUACUCUGCUGCUUCCAAAAGAGUUCUUCCUCAUGAUAAGCUUCAACUAAUUGCCACCGUAGAUUUUUUAAUAACUGAAAAUCCGGUCUUAGUUUAGCUCCUUCUAUUUCAAGCUCAUUGAGCAGCCGUGAAAUAUUUUCUUGAGAGUUUUGGUUAGUCGCUUGCUUCCAAAGAGAUAUAGCCUUUCUGCAGUCCGCAAUACGGCUCAUUAAGGAGUAAUUAUUCAAGGUUGUCCCUUUAUUCCAACCAUCUCUCAUUAUCGCCGCAAAAUCCGGUUUCGAUACCCAUCUUUUCUGAAACAUAAACCUGCCUUGUUUUGAAAUGUUUUCAUUCACAAACCUUGUGAUGAUAGGACGAUGAUCAGAACCAAUUCUUUCCAAAUACUCAGUUUGAACCCUUGGGAAGAGAUGAAACCAAGCUGUGUUUCCGAGAGCCCUAUCGAGCCUACACUGCACCCAAACCUGAUUACGUUCCCCAGCCCAUGAGAAUUUAUUACCAAUGCUAGGGACCUCCCGUAGACGGCAAUCAUGAAUCAUAUUCCUAAAAGGAAAGAAGGAUGAUUCUGCCCGUGUUGGUCCUCCUAACUUCUCUGAGUUGUCCAUGAUUUCGUUAAGAUCUCCCAAGACUAACCAUGGUUCAUCUCUGGACACUCCUAGGCCUAUAAGCCUAUCCCAAACAACUUGUCGACGAUGUGUCACUGGAUCACCAUAAACACAUGAUACGAAGAAAGAUACCGAGCCUAGCUUAAUCUGAAUGUCAAUGAUACGGGAAUCAGCACUAAGGACCUCAACCGUAUAAGACGCUUUCCAAAACAACGCUAAGCCUCCACUUAAACCCACCAGAUCCACCAUGUAUGCAUGAUCGUAACCCAAGGACUGUUGUAACUUCACCACGUGAUCACUGGAGUUCUUCGUCUGCAGGAGGAACAGAAAAUCCGGAAAAUGUUCACGACGAAUUUUCCGUAGAAUAGGAAUUGUCAAGUUGCCCCCCAAACCUUGACAAUUCCAGCUCACAAAGCUCAUAAUUGAUUCGGCGGUUCCUCAUGUGGAACCACCUUAUCCUCAAUGCGCUUAGCGACUUUAGAUGUUAUUUGAUCUUCUGCAACAGCUUUCCUUUUAGAAGAUGACACCUCCUCCAUCUCCUUAUUAUCAGCAGGCUGACUUGUGACUGCACCUUCCCUUAACUUCUGAGCUUUACGCCUCCAUUGAUUUGGUCUUUUACGUUUCGACAACUGUUUUGGGUGCACUCCAUUUGAACCAGCUGAAAAACUUGCUCUCAACUCCGCAGAACCAAAAUUAUUCUGAGAAGCAGUAGCAUAGGUUGCAGAACGAGACUUCACUGGCUGAGAAAGCCGAGACAUCGCUUUACCAGAACGAAUAGCUUUGUUGACACAAUCCUCACCCGAGUUUGCCGUAGAACUAGCUCCUUCAAAAUUAAACACCAAACAUUUCCCUUGAUUAACCUCUGUGGUAAACUUUGUUGGAGCUUCAAGACGAAGAAUAGUCUGUUGACCAUUGGUAUCACCCUCCAAAUCCCAAACUGACUUCCUAACACGUUCAACAUGAAUCUUUCGCAACUGUGGAUCUGCAACUGACAAGUAUUGCCUCAUCUCAUCUAAAACUUCUUUGGCAAUUUUUGGCUUACCAGAUAUCGGAUCAAUUCCAACAUCGGCAUCAGUCAAAACUCGAAACAGAGGAUCAUCCUUACUUAUUUUCGGGACUAAACGACUUGGUAUGACCAGUUUAAUACCUCCCGUAGCAACAGUUUGCCGGUUUGAGGGAUUAAAUGGACAUCACUCUCUGUCAUGAGUUAAUCGUUGACACUGGUAGCAACGACGGCGAAUCCUCUCAUACUCCACUCCAAUGUUAAUCACCUCUCCAGAUGGAAUCUGAAGUUCUCUAAAGUUCUUUAGUGGUUUGUUUACGUCGAAAAGAACUUUAACCCUGACAUAACCCUUACUCAACGGUUUCAAGGGAUCAAAGGCAACAAGAGAAACUUGCCCAAUAUGCGCAGCAAUUUCCUUAAUUGUAUCAGCUGUGUUGAAAUUCACCGGAAUGUUGCGUAAUCGGAUCCAAAUUGGAAUUAUUUUCAAAUAAUCAUCCGGCGGCUUCUCCACCCAACGCUCCAAUGUAAUACUCCAAUCAUUAAAAGUCCAAGCACCGGUCUCUAGAACCGUAGUUAACUCGGACUCUGAAUCAAAGAAGAACUGAAACUGAUCCUUUGUUAAAGCUAUUCCUCUAGCUCUGUUAUACACACGUUACAAGCGAGGCAUUUCAUGAAUCAAAUCAGACAUCUUCUGAUUCUCAGGACAUAGUAGGCGACCAAUGAUACUACUCUUAUUUCGCAAAAAAGAGCUGAAUUGCGGAAGGUUUUGCAGCACGAUUGGUUUAUCAUCCUCGAUCGACAUGUCUUUCAAAGCUUUAUCCAACUCAUACUCCAUGGGUGCACUUAACGGCUGAAAAAGUAGAUAACUUGAACGAAUUCACCAGUAUGUUCAACGGCGGCUCUCAAGAACACAACAGAUUAGGGUAAAAAUUCAAAAGAUCUUAAAAGAUUUUGUCACAAAAGUGAUAAAAACAGAAAAUAUUCUCACAAAUCCGGCGAAAACAGAGAUAUUCCCGGUUUACAUAAGUUCUCCCUCAUUUAUUAGUUAUUAGUUUUAGUUUUUUUUUUUUAACACUGAAUCAUGAGAUUUCAUCUUAUUCUUUUUAGUUAUCGAAAUGGUGUUUCAAUAAGGAUCGAUCUCAUAUGAUAUCUUGAUAGUGUAUAAGCUACUUAAUUCUCACUAUAUAUGAUAUUGCAUAGUGAACUAGCUUUGUUGCUGCGUAUCUCAUAUCUUGAUAGUAUAAGCUACUUAAUUUAACUUAAGACUUAACCAAAUCAAAACUCCAAAAUAUUAGUUUCCACCCUAAACUUAUAAAAUUCCAUUAAAAUGCUUUAAUUUAUAUUAUUAUUAUUAGCAGUUAUAUUUGACAACAAUUCAUUUAUUUUUGCUCUAUUUUAUUACAAAUAUAAUUAUGAAUGGGAUAAAAUCAUACAAUGAAAACUAGCUAUUUAGGCGGACAUACGUUGACAUAAAGGGGUGCAUCAAUAUUAGUGUUAAUGUUAAUGAUUCGUACAUCAACCUAUCAACUCAUUAAGAUCCAAAUAGUAUAACCAUUUGUGUUAAUGAUUCGUACAUCAAUAUUAACCAUUACAACCCAACUCACAUAACACAUCAAUCCAGCGACUAAUAACUUAUUUUAACCCAUCAAAUAUUUUAGAUCCAAAUAGUAAAACCAUUAGGGUUAAUGAGUCACGUUACGAGGAUUGGUUCAUUUUUGACAGUUGUGGAAAUAUUUAAACACUUAUUUAAUUUCUUAGAUAGAAACUUUAUCAAUUUAUUUCAUUUUAGAAAAAUACAAUAAAUUUAUCAAUUUCUUAAUAUUAGGCAGCUCACAAAAUAUUUUCCUCAAUAAAAAAAAAAAUUCAAUCCACAUCAAAAAAAAAAAAAAAAAAAAAAAAAAAAAAAAGUUUACUUUUUAGUUAUCUGCAUUUAUAUACGGUCCCAUCAUAUAAAAUAAUUCAAAUAGAAAUUGAGAACAGAAAAGUGGUAAAAAAUUAAAAUUAAAAAAAUGAAACACAAAACACGUUGUAACAAACGUUUUGGAUUUUAGUAAAUAAAUAAAUAUCUACAAAACUAGAAGAGAGUUGGCAAAAAAUUAAACGAAGAAACACAAAACUAUUAUUUAAGCGACCCUUGUCUCGACAGUACCAUUUCAUCAAUACGAGCUUAAUUCUAACUCUUUAUAUACAUUUUGGAUCAAACAACUAGUGAAAAGAGAGAUGGAAGGCAAAACUUUGAUUGUGAGUGUGCUCGUUAUGAGUUUGUCCAUGGCACAUAUUCAAGUUGACGCAAAGAGCUGCUGUCCUGAAACCACUCCUAAAGACCUCUAUAUCAUGCUUGUCUCGCCGUGAAAGGUUCCAGAGAAAGGUGUGCAAGCCUCAGUGGCUGCAAAAUCAUUACUGGUACAACAUGUCCUAACGGAUAUAUCUCUAUAUUAGUAAAAGAGAAAUACAAAAUAUAAUAUGGGUCGGGUCAAAAUUAAAACAUUAACCCGAUUUUAACAAUUAGAUACUUCAAAAUUGGAUAUUAAAAUGGGUUUGGAUACAUAUAUCGGAUACUUUCCAUAUCUAAUUUUAAAAUUAUAUUACUUCCAUUACUUCCAUAACUAAUUUUAUGAUUUCCUAAUAAAUCUCUAAUAAAUCAAUUAUUAUUCUUCUUUAACUUUUAUUUGAUAUUAUUUUUAAUUUAUGAUAUUUUUCUAUAUAACAAAAAUAACUAAUAAAUUUUUUUUUUUGCAUAUGUUGCAAUUUGAAUUUUUCAAAACGGAUAUAAUACUCAACUACACUCAGUUAGAUAUUUUGGACAAUGAUUUUAAAAUCAGUAUAAGUAUGACCAAUAUUAAAACAUUUGUUACAUGAGCAUAAUUUAAAGUUUCAAAAUAUUAUAAUUAAAAGGUUCAAAUAUAUAAAAAUUUAGAAUUUAAAAUACUAAAAAUAUUUUGUUUGGACACAUAAUUUUUAUUGAUAAAAUAUAUUAUAUAUAAAACUAUGUAAAUUUUAGAUAGUUCGCUGGUAGUUUGUUAAAAUCACAAUUAUAAUGGUAAAGAGAGUUAUGAAUAAUGUUUUUUAAAAAAUGAAUUCUGUUACGGUUGGUCGUUCAAAAAAUAUAUUGUAAGUAUGUAAUUUUUACAUAUAUUCAUACUUCUACUAUAAAAAUGGUCAAAUUGAAUAAUUUGUCGAUAAAAUUAUUAUUUCGUGCUGUGAAAUUUUCACUGUUUUUUUUAAUUGUAUCAAAACUCAUUGUAUUAUUAUUUACUCGCUUUUUCGUUUAUUAUUUUAUUUAAACUUAUUACACAAAUAUAUAAUUCACCGUAAUCAAAUGCAUUGCAAUAAAAUUAAAAUGUGACAUAUUCUAAUCUAUUAAAGGUUAUAUAUAUGUAAUUAUUUCCCGGAUCCGAACCUAGUUUAAGUGACAUUCUCGAAAACACUAAUUAAUUGUUUGUUUUAUUUACGUAUAUUAUUUAUUGUCUUUAGGUACUGUUACUGUUGUCAGCUGCAAUGAUGGAUAUGUAUCGUCUGUGUGUGGUGCUUUAACCACUUUCUAAAACUCCGGUAAAACUAAUUUCUCAUACAUAUUAUUACUAUCAUCAACUUUUUUUGUUUCUAAAUUAUCCACAAAAAACAAUUCGUUCAAAUUUUGUUUGGAUGACUAGAUGCAAGUGAAAUCGUGAGUGAAGCAGUUGCAAAUUGUGCCAACGCAUGUUCUACUGUGUGCACCAAAAACUCAAUGAAUAUAGUUGAAACUGCUUAGAGCAUAUCCAUCAAUGAAGAUACCAAGUAACAACCGGAGAUGAAGGGACACUCAUCUUUGACACUGUUGUUUUUCAUGUUUUCAAUAAUUGUCGUGUAUGCGACAAAAAUGUUAAAGUGUACAUGCAUUUUGUUUUAGUUAUCAAAAUGAUCUUUCAAUACGGGUCUCAUAUCAUAAUAGUAUCAGCUACUUAACUAACAACAGUAGUGUUAAGGUUUUCUCACUAUACAUGAUAUAUGCCUAGUGAACUAGCCUUGUUUCUACGUUGUCUAUAUACAAUAUUAUAUAUCCUAAAUCUUACUUAGCCAACCUAUCAACUUAACCCAACUCACAUGACCUCAUCAGUCCAUUUUGACUAGUAACUUAUUUAACCCACCAAUUCUUUAAGAUCCAAAUAGUAAAACCACUAGCUAGGGUAAGGAUUGAUAAUUUUGACACUCGUGGAGAUAUUUUAACACUUUUUUCUUUAGAUAGAACAUUUAUCAAUUUAUUUAAUAUUUUAAAUAGUUCAAUGAAUUUACAAAUUCAUGUUAUUUCCAAUUUUAAAAAAUACUACUGUAAUAUGUUUAAAUUGUUUAUCUAAAUCAACUUCAUUGACAAUAGUUCAACAAAAGUAUAUCUGAACUCCAAAAAUAACGUCUUUAGUUUAUUUUUCUUCUCCAUAAUUAAACGCUUUUAAUAUAUGUCUUCUUUAGUAUUAUAAAAUUUAAUAAACUAGAUAACUAAAAUUCUUUUAAUAUAAGUUUUAAGUAUAAAACUAAAGCAUAUAAAAGUUUGAAGAAUCACUUUGUAAAUGAAAAAAAGUUAUCAUCACUCUUAAAAUAGCGUAAACACUAAUUACUUUACUACUCUAUAUUUAGAGUAGAAGUUAGAGAUGAUGCUCUUAACCUACCGGUUUUUAAGCCGUGACCUCACUCAAACACUUAAGCUUCCUAAAACAAAUAUAGCAAUCUGUCUUAAAACAUAAAAAUUCUGCUUUCUAGGAGAGAGCUAGAGAGAAACAAAAAAUGACGACACAGAAGAGAUUCAUCUUUGAGGUCGAGGCAGCUAAGGAAGCCACCGAUGGAAACCCUUCUGUUGGUCCUGUCUAUCGUAGUACUUUCGCCAAUAACGGUUUCCCUAAUCCGAUCGACGGAAUCCACAGCUGUUGGGAUAUUUUCCGGUCUGAAUCUCGUUUCUUUUUUUAUGUUUUCCCGACCAAAAAUGUGUAUUUGUGUGAUUAGGUUUCUUGUUACAUUGUUAUAUAUUUUGAAGGGUUUUUUUUUUUUCUAAUAAGUUUUGUUCGUAUGAAAAAAUAAUAUAUGAUCCAUGAUUGUUGCAUUAAUUAUCAUAUUGAAACAUGCAUGUGAUUGUUAUAAACGUACGUGUAUGGAUUAUGGAUCUUGUGUUUCAUCUUGUAGCACGGCUGUUGAGAAAUAUCCAAACAAUCGAAUGCUUGGUCGCCGUGAGAUUGUGAAUGGGAAGGUGUAGUAUUAUAUUUAAUUUAUUUGGAAUUUAGUGUGAGAUAUUGUGUUUUUGAUUUGAUAGUUUCAUUUUUUUUCUUAUUAGGCAGGGAAGUACGUGUGGAAAACAUACAAAGAAGUAUACGAUAUCGUCAUAAAACUUGGAAAUUCUCUACGUAGUUGUGGGAUUCAGGAGGUUAAAAAUUCAUAUUUGCGUGUUUUGUUCUUAUAUAUAUCUUUAAAUGUGAUUUUAUUGUGCCUUAAGUUUGUCUCUUAUAUGUAUAUAUCUGGGAAAUGUAGGGAGAAAAAUGUGGUAUCUAUGGUAUAAAUUGUUGUGAGUGGAUCAUAAGCAUGGAGGUAUGUGGAACUUUUCAACUCUGCUAAUACCUUUGAUAUUCGUCUACUAUGACUUGAUUGAUGGUGCACUUGUAAUUAAUGCAGGCAUGUAAUGCGAAUGGCCUCUAUUGUGUCCCUUUAUACGAUACAUUAGGUAUAUACUUAUCAUGUGUUUUGAUGAUCAUCUUUAUAGAGUCUUCUAUUGUAUUAUCAACACAAUCCGGUUUUCUUAACAUAGGUGCUGGUGCUGUGGAAUUUAUUAUUUCACACGCAGAGGUAUCAGUUGCAUUUGUGGAGGAGAAGAAGAUCCCUGAGGUAUCCUUCACAUAUUAUAUAUCUAUAGUGUACUAUAACUUUGUUUGUAAGUUUGUAUAUAUUCUCAUUCCUUUUAACUUUCAGAUUUUCAAGACUUGUCCAAACUCAACAAAAUAUCUGAAGAGUGAGUAAUACUAAGUGGAUCCAAUCAUCGAUCUUUUUCGUUUUAUAAUACUUGUGAUACUAAUGAUCAGUUUGUUACAAAAUGAAGCUGUUGUGAGCUUUGGCUGUGUCAAACCGGAACAAAAAGAAGAAGCUGAAAAAUUAGGAUUGAUAAUACAUUCUUGGGAUGAGUUCUUGAAGCUGGUAGGAGUCUUUUCCAUUUGCUUUUUUUUUUUUCUUUCUUCUAAUUCUAGAAUAUUAUCAUUACAUAUAAUAUGAUAUAACAUAUAAACUAUAUUUUUAUUGUGGUUACCUAUGACAGGGUGAAGGUAAGCAAUAUGAUCUCCCCAUUAAAAAGGAAAGCGACAUAUGCACAAUUAUGUAUACGAGUGGAACCACUGGUGAUCCAAAGGGAGUUAUGAUUUCGAACGAAAGCAUUGUUACUAUAACAACUGGAGUGAUGCAUUUCCUAGAGAGUGUUAACGCAACUGUGAGUUUUUUUUUUUUUACUUGGUAUGAUUUACACUGAAGCUAGCUACAAUGUUGAAGUUUUAGUUGUGUUAAAUUGUGGAAAUCAAAACAGAUAUCUGAGAAGGAUGUGUAUAUUUCUUAUCUUCCUCUGGCGCACGUAUUUGACCGGGCUGUCGAAGAAUGUGUUAUUCAAGUAGGUGGUUCUAUUGGUUUCUGGCGAGGGGUGAGUGAGUAUAUAACUCAAAUCUAAUCUUCCAACUAAAUGAAUUUUCAUUUUGUAUAAGAGUAUAAUAGUUCUAUAUCAUGUCCUCAGGAUGUCAAGUUGUUGAUUGAAGACCUUGGUGAGCUAAAACCAAGUAUCUUUUGCGCCGUUCCUCGUGUUCUAGAUCGAGUAUAUACAGGUAUUUGUUACUGAGCUCUCGUAUAACAUAUGUUGAUCCAGUUAGAGCAUAUUUACUAAACUUGGUUUCGUCUUUUAAACCACUUAUAUGUGAUUUAUUAUCUCCAACAGGACUCCAGCAGAAACUAUCUGGUGGUGGUUUCUUCAAAAAGAAGGUGUUUGAUGUUGCUUUUUCCUAGUAAGUCCUUUUUGUUUGUCACUUAAAACCUGAACUUAAAAUGCAUGUAGAUAUUUAACUAACUCACUCAAUCCUCUUCAGUAAAUUUGGAAAUAUGAAGAAGGGACAGUCUCAUGUGGCAGCUGCUCCAUUUUGUGACAAACUUGUAUUCAACAAGGUGAGUAAUCUCCAAAAAUAUCUGCAACUAUUUUGAGACUUCAACUCUUUUAUGUAAUCUCUCUCAAGGUUAAACAAGGACUUGGAGGCAAUGUGAGGAUUAUUCUAUCUGGAGCAGCUCCUCUUGCUAGUCACAUUGAAUCAUUUCUAAGAGUUGUGGCAUGUUGUCAUGUUCUUCAAGGAUAUGGUAUACCUCUAUACCCAAAAGAGAGUCAAUUAGAUAACAAUCUCUUAUCUUAUGAUUGUUUUCUUGGCUGUAGGUCUAACCGAGAGCUGUGCUGGAACUUUUGCAACGUUCCCUGAUGAACUAGACAUGCUUGGAACGGUUGGUCCACCCGUUCCAAACGUAGAUAUACGCCUUGAAUCUAUCCCGGAAAUGAAUUACGAUGCUCUUGGAAGUACUCCGCGUGGCGAAAUCUGCAUCCGUGGAAAAACUUUGUUUUCCGGGUAUUACAAACGUGAAGAUCUCACAAAAGAGGUUCUCAUUGAUGGAUGGUUGCACACAGGUUACUAAUUAAACACCACAUAUCUUUGAUCUUUUUGCUUUGCUAGCUAUAUCAUUGUCAAUGUCAGUUCUUCUUUACCUUAUUAAAUUUACUAUGUAUUCACCAGGUGAUGUUGGUGAGUGGCAACCAAAUGGGAGCAUGAAGAUAAUUGAUCGGAAAAAGAACAUAUUCAAACUCGCGCAAGGAGAGUACGUCGCAGUUGAGAAUAUAGAAAAUAUCUACAGUCAAGUAGAAGCUAUUGAUUCAGUAAGUUAUAUUGUAGCCUUUCUUUCUAUCGUUGUUAUAUUUCACGAGUUUCUAAGUCAAAACCAAUUGGCAGUAAGUAUAGUCAGAUCGAUGUCUUGCUAAUUUCAAGAUAUCUUGAUCCCUAUAUAUGUUUGUCUUUAUAGGUAUGGGUGUAUGGAAACAGCUUUGAGUCCUUCCUGGUCGCGAUAACUAACCCGGCCCAACAAACUCUCGAACGAUGGGCCGCGGAGAAUGGAGUGAAUGGAGACUUCAACUCCAUCUGCCAAAACGCCAAGGCAAAAGCAUUCAUACUUGGCGAACUCGUUAAAAUAGCCAAAGAGAAAAAGGUUUUCUUCUUUUUGUUCUCUUUCUCCUCUUUAAUUUUGAACUUUCUUUGGUUUUUUUUAACUCUCUGCUUUUGUAGUUAAAGGGCUUUGAGAUCAUUAAAGCUGUUCAUCUAGAACCACUGGCUUUCGACAUGGAAAGAGACCUUCUUACUCCGACCUAUAAAAAGAAGAGGCCUCAAUUGCUCAAAUAUUAUCAGGUAAUUGGCCGUAAUUAUAAUAUUAAAAACACAUUAGGCUUUACGAAGCUCAUAAUGUUUUCCUCUAUUGGUGUUAUUCAAACAGAAUGUGAUAGAUGAAAUGUACAAGACAACAAAGGAAGGUCAAGCUUCCGGACAGUAGUUUUCUUCUACUUAUCUAAUUCAUUCUUUCUUUUGCAUAAGACAUAGUUUAAUAAGUUUGUGUUGAUAUUUUGAGAUGUUACAUAUAUAGCAACUCGACAUGCUACAACAUGUCUUAGUUUUUACUUCCUUGAAAAGUUCCACAUAUGGUUCCAAAUUAACUUGGUUGGACACGUUGAAAUAUUUAUAAACAAAGAGAACAAAAAUAUCUUUAAUGGCUUUGAUAUGUAUCAUUGAUCCAUCUAUAGCUAUCAAUUAGGCGGGCCGUCCAUGCGUUUAUCCGGUCCACGUUGAUAUAUAUAAACAAAGAGAACAAAAAUACCUUUAAUGGCUUUGAUAUGUAUCAUUAAUCUAUCUAUAGCUAUCAAUUGGGCGGGCCGUUCAUGAGCUUGUCCAGUCUAGACUAUUAUAGAUGGUCCAUGGACACGCCCAUACAAAAGAUUGUCCAAUUGGACAAAAAUACCAUUUGUCUAUGGAUAUGAUAGACAAAACCAUAUGGACAAUGGACAGUCCAAUUUUCAAAAAAUCUUAAGGUUUUUAAUUUUGGAGAAAAUUAAAUUUUAUAUUUCUUAUCUAGAUGAGUUGAUUUGAUUUUAAAAAUGCCUAAAAUACACAUGCUUUCAUCUAAUAGGCACUUUCAAUCUUAAUGUUAGUCACACUAAUUUAAUUAUUGAUCUACAAUACACCUAAAUCAUUUACAAACUAAUAUUUUUGACAUUUAUAAAUUUCCAUUUUCAUGAAAACGUAAAAUUACGUUUUUGGCGGGAAAACAUAAUUUUUUCUUUUAUUGACGAAAAAACUUGAUUUUUCGUUUUUGGCGGGAAAACGUGAUUUUGCGUUUUUUUGGCGAAACAAUGUGAUUUUGAGUUUUGGUGGGAAAAUGUAAUUUUUUGUUGUUGGUGGAAAAACAUGAUUUUGCAUUUUUUUGGAAAAAACGUGAAUUUGCGCUUUUGGCGAAACAAUUUACGUUCUAAUUUAAAUUUUAUGAAGAGAAACAGAAAUAAUAAAAGUAAAACUAGAAUGUCCAAAUAGACAUGAUUUUUAUUGGACAUAGAUAUAUUUUAGAUCUAUGUUCAUUAUGACCGUCCAAAUAUAUCACAUAAAUAAAAUUGUCCAUUUGAACACAUCCAAUAGUUGGUGGACAGACCAAUUGACGGUUCUAGAACCUCGACCAUCCCGUUUGUAUCGAAAGCAGUUAAAGGAUACUUAUUACUUGAGCCAAAUGGUACAUUGAUAAAUAAGCACGUACGUAUGCUUCAGGAGCGAUAUCUACUAAACCCUAAUUCACAUCAUUUAACGAAAGAUCCACGAUUUCAAAAUAGUGCAUGUAACCUAUUAGUAAGAUAUAAUCUAUUAUGGAUCGGAUCACGUUUUGCUGGAUUCAGUCCACAAACACAUCCUGCACCAAUGUAACGAAGCGGCAGAUAAGUCUAAGGUAGAAGCGGUUCUCAAGAUACAUGUAUAUAUAUAUAUAUAUACACUAUAUACACUUAUUCAAUUCUUGUUGUUUAUACAUUUCCAUUUGGUUAACUGAAUCUAUUCAUCGUAACUAUAAUGUCUUAUAUCUUUCAAUCAAUAAAUAAAUAAACAAAUAUUUUCUUCAUAAUAUAAGACCAAAAAGGAAAGAGUCAGGGUAAGAAAACCCUUUUGGAGAGGAAACGUGACGUGGAAUGUCAUAAUUGAGCAAUGAACAGUUUAUGUGACCGUUACUACACAAACGUCAUAUGAUAUCUACAUAUUUGGUGUUACAGCAAACCGGACCGGACCAGAUCAAACUAACGAACCAAUACGAUAGGUGAUAGAGACAUUUUGAAGUAAACCAUUAGCAGAUCAUGAACAUAUAAAACUGAAAACUCUUAAUAUUAUUAGAUACUGAACACCAAUCUUAUUUACAACUUUUACUUAAGUUAGAUAGUGCUAACGACAGGUUUUGCUCAUUGGUUAGGUACCUAUUGUGUUUUUUUUUCUACUCAUCAAUAGGUUUAUAUGAAAGGAAAAUAAAAUUAUGAUUUUCUAUAUUUAAUUUCUUCCGUUCAAAUUAGUUAUCGUUUUAGAUUGUUUUACAUUAAAAAAUUCAAUAAAUUUAACUAUUAUAAUUUCAAGCUUAUUUAAUACUUAUUUAUUUAAUGAAAAAAAUAUAAGAUACUCUUUUAUUAAAAUGAUACUAAUAAUGAAAACAUAACUAAACUGAAAAAAAAAAAGAAAUUAGAAUAAAACUAUUUUCAAACGGAGGGAAUACUAACUUUUUUGUUUAAAAAGAAAAGUAGUUUGAAGAUUUUUAGAAAAUCAACUUUAGUGCAUAUAUAUAUUAUUAGCAUAAAGGGUCCGAAUGGUAACUGCGGUUUUCACUGCGGGAGAAGUGCGGUACGGUUCAAAUAAUAACGAAAAUAUAUAGAUAUAUAUGUAUAUGUAGAUAUUUUGACACUGUUACAACACUGUUGCGGUGCGGUUUUGUAGUGCGGUAUGGUUACCAUUCGGAGCCAAAGUUGACCAACGAAGACAACAGAAACGCAUUUUGGAUUUGCUGGUGGAUCAUUAUACUUAGCUGUAUAUAUAUAUAUAUUCCAAGUAGCAAUCCUUAAAAGAGAAAAUUCCAAGAAAGGUUUUUAUAAAAAAUCUUGUACCUAUCCGUUUCAUAAAACUAAGCAUUGUUGUCAUUAUUUCUUCCUUUUAUUUGUGUGUUUCUCUUUUUAAUUUGAGAGCUUUUAUGAAAUACAUAUGCAAGUUGAAGAAUAAAUAUGCAUGCAAGUUAUCAAACAGACGUGUGUCGUUGUGCUCGUAAUAUGUGUCCGUUAGUGGACGGACCUUCACUCGCAUGCAUAUGAUGUUUCUUUUUGUUUAUUUCCAUGAUACUUUAUAUUUAUUAUAAAUGCGUUAAACUAUAUUAUUCGACGUUUGAUGGAAAAAAAAAAAAAGGGUAUUUGCUCAAUCAACAACGUUUGGGUAUUUUGUAUAUUUUUAGAUCGUAAGAAUAGAGAUUUUUGAUAAAAUUUAUUAUAUAUACCGUCGACGUUUUACUGGUUUAUAAUAAGUUAAUUGAUUAUAAAUUUUAUAACUCUUUUUUAAAAAAUAAAGUAGUAAGUUGAGUGAGACUUGCAGAAUUUUGUAAUAUCCAUACAUACGUAUUAUGUAGUAUAUAUUUGUCACUUAUUUAUAUGUGUAUAUGUAACCCUUUUAAGCUUUAAUUUUUUUCUUUCUCAAAGUUAUAUUUUUAUGUCUGAAAACGCAUGAUCAUCUCUAAAAACAUUUAACAAAAAAUUUCACAAUAUUAUAAAACUUACACGUAAGUUUCCCGAUACUUGUUUGAUUAUAAUUAAAUGUUGUAUAGAAACGUAACGAUUCUAAUAUCUACAAUAAUUUUGAUUGUGUCACAAAUUCCAUAUAUAUAAAAAAAAUUUGGUUAGAAGAACAUAGGAAUCGAUUUUUACCUUUUUUCUUUUUAUAGGAAUCGAAAUUUGUAAAUUUGUUAGCCUAAUAUAAUAGUGGACGACGCAUUACUGCAUUAGCCUGAUAUGGCUAAAAGAUAUGCAAUGUUCCCACCGACCCUUCGACGAUGGAUUCGAUCUCCAAUGUUUCGAGUUAAAGAAGUGUUUAUAUAGUCUCAGACUCAGACCACUUGACUAGUAGACAAACCAAAGUAUAAAACAAAGAUAUCUAAAUAGUAAAUAGCCAUCACAUUUCACAUAUAUAUAAAUCACAAACAAUGCGGUCUACCAAGGUGUCUAGAUUACGUUUUCUAUUUAAAUCCUUUUCUUACUCCACACACACAAAAAAAACGUAUCAGAAGUGGCAAUCUCUAGACCGUCAUUUAGUUUAUUUUAUUUUAUUUUUUCAUUUGUGUCGUUAUAAGAUAUAAUAGAAAGAAAGAAAAAAAGACACGACAAGAUAUAUAUGUAUAUAUACAGAAGCAUGUGUUAGGUAAUAUAAAUCACUUUUUUCUUUGCUCACUUCAACGGAUGUGUUAAUUCUUGAAAGGUUUUAGUGGAAUCAAAAAUAUCAUGAAAUCGGACAUUACUAUACCCAUAGUGGCCGAAGAUGGCGACUGCAGCGAGAGUAAGCGAGUAAGAGUUACUGAUGAUCCGGGAUUAACCGUCGGUGGCGAGGACAGACCUGUGAAGCUACCAAAGAUCCAAGAUAACGGUACGUAACUAGUUAUGUAAGCCUCUAGUUUUGCUUCAUUUCUAGUUUUUGAUCAAGAGUGUUUGAAAUCUAAUUUAGCACAAGACUAUUUUUUUUUUGUUUUAUGAUAUAUAUCUUCAUGUCAUAAGAAUUAAAAUGUCAUUCUAAAAACAAGAAAAAAAUAUAUGAUAAAUUAUUAAAGAAUAUUUUUAUGGAACCUAAGACUAAAUCUUUUCUUAGUUAUUAACUUAAGACAAAAAUUUAAAAAUUAAACUAGUAGUUAAUAACUUGUGUUCUUGGUUAUUUUAAGAUGAAAUUUUGUUUUUGGUUUAAUAACUUGAGAAAACAUUUUAUGCUUAAAAAAACAUAUUUACUUUUUAAUUUAUUUUUUGAAUCUUAGCAAAAUAAAAGUAAACAUAACUUUGGUGUAAACUUUUUUUUUGUCACAAUCGAAUAUUUUAUUCAAACCUUCAAACGAAGGAAGAGAAAAAAAAUAUGAUCUUCUACGUAUUUAGGAGAUGUUGGGACAUCAGGAGGAGGAACACACGUUGUUGUCGAUGCACUUAUGGCCGACGUGGCGAUCAACGAUAAAGACGGGAAAACAAACGCCGGACAUGGAGUAGUCUCAGUCAUGGGACGGCAGAGAGCUAUGACAACCGCUGUUUCCACCGUCGUCGACGAGAUACCGUCUUACGACAUUUUCGGAAUCUUUGACGGUCUUAGGCUGGCUAAAUUCUUCGAGGACAGGCUGCGUCGGCUCGUGAAGGAGGAGGUGAAAGCAUGCCACGGCCGUGGAGUGGCCGCGGACUGGAACAAAGUUAUGAGAUCUUGUUUUUCCGAGACGGUGGGGACAGUUGGAACCACCGCGGGAGAAGCGGUGGUUACAAUUGUAGGAAAAGAUGAGGUGAUUGUGCUCUGCCGCGGUGGCGCAAGGGUGGUUCUUUACUCUCACGGCGGAGUAGCUUUGCCUCUUUGCCAUAUUCAUCAUCACAAGGUAAUUAACUUUUUGUUGCAAUUUAAACUCAUUAAAUUGUAUAAUUUAUAAAAUGUAAUAUUUCUAGGGUUUUUUAUUUCGUUAUAAAAUAUUUUUUGUAAUAUAUAUAUUUUUUUAGAAUGGUGUGGAUCAAAUCUUGAAGAUACAUAAACGAAAAAAGAUAGACGAUUUCAUAGUACUUGCAUGUGAAGGCCUUUGGGACGUUGUCUCCGACAGUGACACAUAUCAGCUUGUCAAACGUUGUCUCUACGGCAAAGUACCAGACGGGUUAGUGCCUAACUUAUGUAAUUGUAGAAUUAACAUAAUUACUAUACCUAUAAGACUAAUUAAUAUAGAAUCUGAUACUUGUUUUUGUUUUGUCCUUGUUUGAUAUUAUAUGGCAGAUGUGAAAGUGAAUCAAGCACGACGAAGGCAGCAGUGAUACUAGCAGAGCUUGCAAUUGCUAGGGGAAGCAAAGAAAACAUAAAUGUUAUCGUUAUUGAUCUCAGAAGCUCCAAAGUUUCCUAGUUUUUUUUUUUCUUCUUAGUUCACGAUUCUAAAUUAUUAUUAUUAUUACUAGUUUUGUCUUUCAAUUAAAUUUUUCGAUUUUAACCUCUUUUCUAUCAUUUGUUUCUUUUUUUUUUUUGUGUUAUUCGAUUAGUUUUUUUUUUUUGGUUUUUUUUCUUUCUGUAGUUUUUCACUUUUUUUUUAAUAUGAAAUUUGCUUGAGAGUUUGUUUCUCACAGUACUCCUGCUUUGUCAUUCUCCUCGGUGACAAGUUUUUAUUUAAAUGUAUUAUAUAUAUAUAUAUAACUUUUAGAAUUGAAUUAGAAAGUUUGUAUACAGCACUAUUGUAGCUGAGAAAAUGAUAUGUAAAAAUAUACAAUGCAGAAAACAGUUAGCAAAAGGUUUCUUUGAUAUUUGAAUUAAUACUACAAAAAAAUGAGAGUCAAGUAACAUAUCCAAUUCGGAUUUUCUGACUAUUCGGUUUGAACAAGUGCUAGAUUUGGAUUCGUUCUAGCAUCACUUUUGUUGAACCAAUAUAUAUAUGCUUCAUGAUAUAAUAUUGGUUCAUGACUAAUUGUUAGAUUUUGAUCAGGGCCUGCCGUAACUGAGUUCAUUGGACUACUUAUUAACGUACAAAACAUUAACUUAGAUAGAACAUAGAAAAACUUAAGGACCAAACUCAAAAUAAAGCAGUAAAUGUAAACAUGAUAACAUUUGGACCGAUAAGGAUCGACCAAUGACCAUUACCAAAGAUAAACAGAAACAAGCUUUCUUGAAUUACAAGAAAUAUUAGUCCUAGUUUCACAGUCUCAAAUCUCUCUCUCCCUCUACUUGUUUACAAACUAGAGAAUACAUGUCUUUCUCAUCCUCCCAAAAAUCUAACCACUCGGUAUAAUUAACUAAACCGAAUAUUCCCAAAAGCAUGGUGAACAAGCUUACAAGAAAGUAAACCGGUUACACACACGUUACGUAAACACUUCUACACAUCACUCCAAAGAAUAGCUAGAAACCAAGACAUUUGCCGGAGAAGCUGAGUGUAUAUAGACAAACUCCAUGCUUUUUCCUGCCGGUAACGAUUCCAUCCACGAGGGGAAACCAUACGAGUUUCCUGUUUUGGUCACACCCCAAAUUGGACCAUAGAGUUUUGUGAUUGAUAUCUUCAAAUUUUUCAACGUUUUAGUAGAUCUAUUGGUUAAUCUCGUUGAGUAUCUAUAGUAAACUUUUCCCUCGUCCUUCCAUGAGCUUGUCAUCUUUUGUGAUAUGGUAAUGGGACUAGAAGAAGAAGCUGCUAAACAAAACAUAGAUUAAGCAAAUUGGUUAAGUUUAAAGUUAAUGGAAUAAAAUGUUUGAUUCACAAUUGGUUUAGGUAUAAGAUAUCUAAAGAUGACAAACCAGGAGGUGUUGUGGGUUUCUUUUUCGGUACCGGUGCUGGUUUUAUGAUAACCGGACUUGGACUCGGACUAACACCUGAAAUCAGAAAUUCGGUCAGUACUAACCCGGUUAACCAAGUUGAUUAGAAAUUGGAAAGUCCAGUAUUUUAUUGUUAGAUAGUUUUGUAAAACUUUUAUAAAUUAGUAAUAUCGGGCUAUGAUAUUUAUUACUUUAUCGAGUUAUUAAUUUAUCGAUAUAUAAAAAGAAUCGAAAAUUAAAUUUGGAAACAAGGGAUAUAUUGAUUUAUCGAGUUUUAAAUUUUUUACUAUGCAUAAAUCUUACCGGGAAGUUGCUGGUUAAAAUCGGUCGGACCAGAAAUUAACCGGGCUAGUACACCAAGAAAAGGUGCGUUGUUAUACGUUGCUGGUUCGGUUUGCUCGUAGUUGUCCCGUUGGUCAGCGAAGUUAUCGUAUGCGUCAGGUCCACCCACAAGAGCACCGGUCAAAACAUUAGGAUCGUUUCCUUUUCGGCUAUACCAAGUGGCGUAACCACCACGACAAGUCACGAACUUUUGAUCGACGUUGAAGGAGACAAUUGAUGAACCACGGUGAUGGACUUGUCGUGGAUAGUUGUUUCCGUAUCCGACCAUGUAACUCGUCGCUCUAGGGUUGUCUCCAAGAAUGUAAUCAACCUGAUUCAUUUCGAAUUAAUUAAUCAUGUAUUUAAUUUACAUAGAUAUAUGUGUUAAAUUAUGAUUUGUUAUGAACUUCCAACUCAAAACCAAUUGGCAAUGAGUGUAUUGACCCUAACUCUUUAUAUAUUACUUAAGUCCCAUCACAUCUUCCAAUGUGGGAUAUUUUCUCCACAAUAUGUCCCAUUUUGUUAUAUUUUUAUUUAUUUAACGGAUAUUAGAAUCCAUAUCCCAAUUACCCAAUCCAAAUAAGUUAGAUUUUGACAAAUGGUAUAGUAGUAGGAGAUUGUAAUUUUUAAAAUCGAAAUAGGAUUAACUGUACUUUUGUUAUUUUUGUAGUGUUUUAGUGUUAUGAAAUUUUAUUUCUAAACUAUUAACUUUUGACAUUUAGUCGCGAUUUUCAGUCCAAUUAAUUUCUGUAAUCUGAGUAUUUUUAGAUUUAAUUUUUCCGCCCUACCUAUUAUACCUACUCCCAAAUAUCAUAUUUGGACACUAGAAUCAAAAUUUAGUAUUGUAUUUACAGUUUCAAAUUCAAUUAUAGACUUUAUAGACUUAUAGUGUUAAUUUGGUUCUAUAUAUUGGGGGUGAAUCAACAAAUCAAGAAAGUUUUGGGGGCAAACCUGUGAUUUAGAAAAAUCUAGGAGUUUGGAUGGAGAAACGUUUCCUUGAGAACAACGUAGAUCUCUUUUGGAAGACGAGAGAUAGUCAGAGUAGACGGCGGCUAAGAAAGAAGCACUCGUGACAAACUGCAUAUUAUUCCAGCUCUGUCGGAAAAUCAAACCGCCGGGAGUUUUCUUUAUGUUCUUGGUGCUUUUACCUAACAACGAACACAUGUACUGUUCUGCUUUCUCUUGGUACCUCUCGAACACGGCCUUGUGUUCUUUGGCUUUACCUUGCAUCAAAACCUAUAAACCAAACAAAACAAUCUCGGUUUAGUAAAACCAAUUUACUUAAACCAUAGAAAACCGAAAAGUAUGGUUAAAAUUGAAGUGUAUUUUACCUUAGCGACAAGGGUUUGAACGCCAGCAUACUUAACGUCCCAACCAAAUUCUGAAAUCGACCAGCUGGUACCGCCCAUCGAGUCGCCGUUCUUGCCGAGGUAAUCUAGAUAAUAUUUGUCAUUGGUUGCUUGGUAUAACCAUGCAGCAGCCCAUAGUAACUCAUCCUGGUUAUACAAAAUCGCGGUUAUAAUGAGAAUUCAUGGAUUAAUGUAUACUUCAAUUAUAUAAGAGUUUUUGUUUUUAGAGUAUAAAACUAGUGUUUAGUACAUUGUAACCGCUGACUGAUCGGUAGAAUUUUUGUGCCACGGUAAUGCUGCUAUCGUACUUGCCUCUGUAUUUGUCCGCAAAUUCAAAUAGCUGCCAACAUAAGAAUUGGUUUAGGAUAAUAUAAGAAGGUUGUUUCUACUAUCUUCAAAAUGUUAUUUAUAGUUCUUUCUAUUGCAAUCAAACAUUAGGGAAGGAGUUUGCAAAUUGUACAAAUUCAAUUUAAACAAUGUGCUUAACCAAACUCGAUUUUAGUAAACCGGAAUUUAAACUCGGGUUUUUUAGUUAUAUUCUGUUUUGGUUAGGGAUUUAAGAACCUGAUGGGCGUGACGGAGUAGCUCGGCUGAGUAUGAUGGAUCAGAGCGGCGGAAAACGAUGGAAGCGGCAGCCAUUGCGGCAGCGGUCUCUCCGGCAAGAUCCGAACCGGGAUUGUUCCGGUCAAUCUUGUAAGCCCUACGGUCAGUGGUCAUUUCCUCUGGCCUUUGCCAACAAUAAUGGUCUGACUUACCAUCUCCCACCUAGACGGUUACAAAAUAUUUAUCAUAACCAAAUUUGCAAAUUAUGUAAAUAGAGUAAUUAGUAUAACUACUAAAGUAAGUGAUUAGAGUGUUAAUUAUUUAAUUUGUUACCUCUCCAUAGAGGACGUUAGGUUCAGGGUGGGCUUUAAUGAAAUAAUCAGUUCCCCACUUAACAGCGUCCAUGGCAUGGCCAAGUUCGCCGUUAGAUUGUAGCUGGCCACCGUAUUCAAUGAUGCUCCAACACAUUGUGGUCACCGUGAAAGCCAUCGGAAGCCCGAAUUUCACAUUGUCUCCGGCGUCGUAAUAACCGCCAACUAGAUCAACCUGCUCAUUGAUUUCAAAAUGUGUUUUAAAUUAAUUAAUAACCAUAUUGUAGUAUUAAACAAUGUUUUUUAAAAACAGCUUUUUGUAAUGACGUUUUAGGUGGCCAAAACCAUCCAAACGUUUAGAUUUUGAUCAUAUUAGUUAAAUAUUCGGGUCAACGGAAAGUCAAAUCGUAAUAUGGAUCUAGAUUCUAUAGACAGCGUUUAAUAUAUUUAUAAAUUGUUAUACAUAAAUAACUAUAUGUUAUAAAAUAAUUGGGAAUAAAUUCUGAUUAAUUAACAGAGAGUUUUGAAUAUUAGUAGUAAUUAAUAUCAUAUAUGAAUUUUAAAGUAUUUUAUUUUUUUAAAAUGUAGAGCUUACGCCGCUUGAUUUGCCGUCGUAAAGACCAGAAUGAGAUCGCCAAGAAACUCUCUGGUUGGGAGGAAGGUGUCCUGAUCUUUGAGCUUCAAAGAAGAGAAUGCUUUUGCUCAAAGCUUGUUUAUAGUCAUGCCCUGAAACUGCCAGCUGAACCAACCCAAGAAGAAGAAGAACAAGAACCAAAAUGGUGGUAGUACUAGAACCCAUUAGAUAUAUACGUAUCUUUAUGAAAUUAUGCAAGAAAAAGUGAGAUCCUCUUAAACCAACUAGACUCAAGAGAUUAGUUUGGUCCUUCUUGGACUUUGUUAACUUUAAUUUAUGGGAUCAUUCAUCAAGACUUUGAUCCUUUCCUAAACAGAGUGAGGAGGGAGAUAAAGAGAAGGUUUGGUGAAUGAAGUUGAGAAAAAAAUGAGGUUUAUAUUGAAGAAACAAGAAAGUGAAGGAAGGUACCAGGAGGAGAGAAAACGGCAGAGUUAAUAUAAUAACUCUUUUAUUUUUGUUUUUGAAAUUUCAAAAGUAUAAUAUAGUUUUAGUCUUUUAUGAAUGUGACAACAAUGUGUCGGCAGGCAAUGUUCAUUUCUAAUUUUGGGUGAAAAAUAGCUGAAAAAAAUAAAGAUUAUUAUUAUUAUUAUUCUCACAAUCUAAUAGUCAACUAAGAGUCGUCCAUUUCUAUACCAAUCUUGGUGAAUUAAUUAACGAUCAAAAAAUUUGAACAAGAACUAAAACAUGUUUUGUAAGUGCAAGUGAUCGAUCUUGUACAUGUGUUAGUAACUUUGUCUUUUAGUAAGUAGAACAAAAUUUGAAUCAUUUUUAAAAUAUGACCAUGAUAUGAUAGUUGUCUUUUCCACCCGUUACGGAAGCUCCGAAUCUUCCAUGCAAUUAAACAAAUGACAUAAGAAUAAUAUCAUUACCUUCUUUUUUUAUAUUCAAAGUCAAAAACCAUAUAAAUUAUACAUCUAAUUAAUUUUUUCUAACUCAGAUCUUAAAUCUAAAUCCACUCUCCAGUUGUACAAGCUCAUUUAUCCAAUGGCUGAGGGGUUAACAUUUCUAAAUCAAGUAUUGAGUUUGAUUCUUAAGGAAACAAAAACAAAAACAAAAACUAUUUACAAACAGAAUCAUCCGUCGUAGUCUUGAAUAUCAAGAAUAGGAUUAAGAUUGGCCUUGGCAAAUACAUGUAAGAAUCAUCAAUAUAAAAUAUACAAAAUUACAACGAAAAUUAUACGUCGUUUAAUUGUUAGUAGAGUCCUUCACCAAAAUCGCAUAUGUUAUAUGUAGGUAGAUCCGAUAAAUUGAUCAUCAUAUGCAAUAAAAGUAUUUAUGAUGAUAAUGUAUAAAUAGAGGAUAACAAAAGUUUUUGGCUAUCUAUCGAAAAUUCAGUUGUCUAUCUUUUUAAAAAAAUAUAUAUCCACUCUAGGACAUUUUUUUUUUGUAAAAAUGUCCACUCUAAGACAUGGUAAUGAAAAAAAAAACAUAUCCACACUAAAACUCCAAUUUCAGAAAAGAUUUAUAAAAAUUAUCACACAAAACAAAAAGAGAGAUUCAUAUAAACUUUUUUUUGGUUAUAUAAUAUGAGUAAAUUUGAGUGGAAUUUAAAUUACCAAAAUAAAUGCCGAACAGUAGUAAGACCAUGGGGACAAAAAACAAACACUAGACGCUCCGAAUUCAGUUCUUUAUCCCAAGAAAAACAAUAGUAUAAAAUUACAAUGCAGUCAAAUAUAUGUCAUAUAGAUAAAUUUGUGAAGAAAAAAAAAAGAGAGGAUGAAGAAGUGAGAUAGUAAACGGUGGUUGAGAAAAGUCAUAAGUGCAUAAAUCUUGUUUGAGUUGGGAUGUCCCAAAUCACAAUGAAUUGUCUACCCAAAGCAUAAGUUGUGUCUUUUUUUUGUUAUUUGGGUUUCGUAAAUAUGUAAACACUAACAUGAGAUGUGGGUUGAGAUUGGGUGUAUAUGCACGCAUUGGGGGGAACCAACCCUGUUGGCAACUAUAAGCUCGUAAUUUAUUGAAACAGCGGUGCCUUUUGAUAUAUUGGUGAGAGAGUUGGAUGAUUUAUCUCCAUAUUUUUUUAUAUAAAAAAAUAGCAUAUAGUUUUGUUUCAUUAGCUUAUGAUUUAAGCAAAUCACACAUUCAUAGUUGUUUGAAUAGUUUCUGUAAUAGAAGUUGUCAUAUUGACGAUGAUCUCAUUACCGUAUAUAAUUGUUUUCAAUUAAAUUUUUUUUUUUUUGUAAUUUAAGAGUGAUCCCAAAAGCUUUCUAGUCACGAAGAUUAAUCUUUUGAAAUCGGAAAAAACCAUGUUAAAUCUCGAAUCCCGUGAUCAAUGUUAUUCGAACCCAAAUGGCAAGACUUAACUUCUUUUCUACUGAAUCAAGGCGACUUGGUUUAAGUUUCUGUCCUAAAAUGAUAAGUUCCACAAAAUAUACUUACAAACUGAUAAAAGUUUGAGAUAUGAAAUAAAAAUUUGAGUCCACUUGGCUCCACCUUCCCCACCGGAGUUUAACUUCACUAAGUUGCGUAGUAGUUUGACAUCCAAUUCAAAUAUUUUUGUUGCACGUGCGGUGACAUCUGUUCGAGAGAUUACUAUGAAGCAUGUGACAAAUGGGAUCAUAUUAAAAAUGUUGUAUUAUAGUUUUACGUAGUUUGAAUUCGUUUUUAAAUCAUAAUCGAUAUAUAGACUGAUUUAACUCUUUCUUUAAUUGGUUCUUGUACAUUCGACAUAAGAAUCUUAUAACAGCAAUAUUCACAAACAGAAGAAUCCCUAGCUAGUACUUCAAAUAAUUUUGAAGUUGAUUUCUCAUUACAAUUUUUAUUUAAUAAAUAUGUAUGAUAUAUAUUUUGAGUUCGUAAACUAAUUAAGAAAAUUAAUUAAACUAUCAUGAGUUAAGUUGAAAUAAUAAAAAUUUAAACAACUAGCUAGAGAUGAGACUAUCGUAUUACGAUGUAUAUAACAAACGAACAAGAUUUUUCUAUUAGCCACAUUUUUGUUGAUCUUGAUUUUGGAUCUUCGGUUUAGAAAAUAAUUAAUUAUGAACGUAAAGAGUACUGAAACAAAAAUAUCAGAAAGUUCUAAUUUGAGGCUGUCAACAUACAAACAAAAAUAUAUAAUAUAUAGAAUUGGGAUUACUCAUGCAUGCAUGGUCACAUGAACGCAUGUGCCUACCGACACUGUUUGAGAUUGAUCCCUUCGUGCGUGGACUCACGUGAUGCUUUCUUCAUCACUCAACCUUCAUUUUUAUUUUGAUAUUAGGAUUGUGACAGCUUUCAAAACUUUUUGAAUUAAGAGACAAAACAAUCCAAACAUAUAUACAUCAGAAUUAAGUAUGGAACUUUCUUUCGUACAUUUGAAAAACUAUAUUGGUUUAGGGGAUUUUUAAAAGUAUGAAAUAGAUACCUUAUUGCUUUCUGGGUUUAUUUGAAUCAAAACAUAAACUAGGAUAUGUCCAUAAUAAACAAAUCUAACUCUAUAUAUAUAAUCUAUCUAUUUUACUUUUUUCUAACAAUUUGUUUUCAUUUAUCGGAAAAAAAACAAAGUUUAAAAAAACCAUGGAUACUAAGAUAAUAAGGUAUAAAACACAAUACAAACACCGUAUAUAAGCUAAAAAAACAAACACCAAACAAUAAACUAUGUUAAAAAUUUUAUAUUCAAAUUAAAAUAAAAUAAGCAUAGUCUAUAUUGUAUAUAAUAUUGGAUUUCAUUUUGACAUUACCAAAUUCUUUAAGAAGGGAGUUUAGAUGUACGCAAGUUAUAAUACUUUAUUAAACAUUUUAUCAUCAUUCACAUAUUUGUUGUCAUGUCCCCUCUGAACCAAAAACAUGGAAGGGUGGAGUUACGAACUAAAAGUGCACUAUUCAUUUGCUUUCACAGUUAAUUAAUAAUGUGUGCCAAGAAAUUAAAUAGACCAAAAUUGAGAAAGGAUCAUUGCAAUUGAAAUGAACAAACAUAGGUGAAGAUGUUUGAAGGGAUAAAUGUCUAAGAACUUGCAAAUUUGCUAACUCUUUCUUUGUGCGGGAGAACAUAUCACAUCUCAUAGCGUCGAGUCAUUUGGUAUUUAGUUUCCCACCAAUUUUUUCUUCACAUUGAGCAGGGAAGUGAUUCUCCUUCUCACAAAUGAUGACCACAAAUAGUACACCUAAUAUCAUAGAUGUUCAAUCUCCUCAGAAAAUAUAUAUAAACACGUAAUCAAAUAAACAUCAGACCCGUAAAAAGAAAUCAUUGAAUAAGAUAGAGAGAAACAAACCUUUUGGCAACUCUCUUAAGAGGAGACAACAAAUUACAGAAAAAAAAAAAAAAAAAAAAAAAAUCUCCAGUAAUUGUUCAAGAAGGGGUUCAACGAAAACCUAUUAUUCGUGAUAAGUGAGCUACGAAUUUAGUCUAAAUUAAAUGUUAGUGUGGAGAAGAGUAUAUAGGUAUGUUUAAUUCAAGCUUAGGUAACGGGUAUACUUGCAAUCAAGCACCUAGUUUAUAUCAAGUGAUCUUCGAUGUACAACUCACUUCAAAAAUCGAAACCCAACCCAAGUCCGUUAAGAACAUCACUUGGUCACAUUGCUUUGGGCCUUCUAGCCCAAUUCGUAAUGUUAACAUUUUCGUUUCUCUCUUUUUUUUUUUUUUUCUUCUCUUUUUUUUUGGUUCUUCUAACUCUGUCUGCCAUAUAACAAAGAACCGUAGAUUUGGUACAUCGGAAGAUUCAGUAAAACUAAACUAAUGCAUGGCAUGGCUUACUUCAUUUUGACCAGAAAUUACAUAAACACCCCCCAGACAUCCAUAAAAAGGAACUCAGUCCUCCUCACAAAGUCACAGAACAAACAAAACCAAACUGUUUUGUUGAUUUUACUCAGUAAAACUUUGAUUCAGUUUGCUCUCCUCUGGCCACCGGAAUAUUCUUGCUCCGACUCUAAAUCAAUCCUUCUUCUGCCAAAUGUGGAACAAAAGAUUAAACACAUAACCAAAUAUCUCUUCUUUAUUUGGUAAUAUUAGGUGAGCGAAAAAUGGUAUAACUUACUUAGCUCAUCGAAAGAGAUUUUGCUAAUGCUUUCACCAUAUUUGAUCAGCCGGAUCUUCCCUGCAAAAACGCAAAAGAGUCGUAACUCAGCAACAAACUAAUGGUCCGGUCCGGAUCAACAAUAUGAACAUCCAUACCAUCAUGACGAACGCAUAUCUCAGGGAUACUCUUCACUUCACCGCUGAUGCUAUCAUUAUACACUCUAGUCUCAAUAUCACCUUCCACAUAAACCGAUGAGCUGUGUGUAACAAAGCAUCAGACAAAAGUUCAGAUAAAUACUUACACCUUUCACCUCCUAUUUAUUAACUAAUACCAUCAUAGAUCGAGACUGUCGAAGAUAUCAUUCAACUUGAGAGUCUCUGCAAACGAUAUCUUAACCCACAAACUAACUAACAGACUUAUCACUUAGAUAAUCUGAAAUUAGAACACUUAGACUAAUACAAGUCCUUCUUUAAGAUACUUAAACAUGUAAUUAGGCUUACUUUUUAGCGAUUUUUUGGACAGCGUAAGAACCAAGCACUUCGUUGUGCACUGCGAUUCUAUGCCACUGAGCUGGUUUCGGCUGAUUAGUGGCUCCAACAAGCCUCUGAUCAAACAUGCCACCUGUUCCUACUGUGAAGAUCGUUACUGUCCGCCCGUUCCUUAAGAUCUUCUGUAACGGCGAUUGCCCUACCUUCCCACAAAUGAUCGCCUGCUUGUGAACCAAACAAAAUCAACAAUGAUAUGAAACCGCAAGAACACAAUCACCCAAUCAAAAGAAGUCAACUAAAUGAAAUGAUAUUGCAUCGAGAUAACUCAAGUCAAGAACCAUGAUUCGAACAUACGAAAAAGAUAGUUCCUUUUCAACUUGGUUUAUGAAACAGAUUCAGCAAUGGAAGACUUAGAUAAGCCUAAUCUGAUUAUAAUAAACUUCAGCUACUAAUGCUUAACAGUAAGUGUUCAAAGAUUCAAUCUUUUUACCCUAUGGACACCGCGAAAUCCCCAACCUUUACGGGGAUCAACUCCUUGAGGUUGAAGCUCAGGUCUUUCUGAGAUGGUUUCUUGAAAAUCUUCUUCCACACCUUCAUCAAUCGGACCAGUCGAGAACCAAACCCUCGAGCCUCUCUCAAUACUACUCAUUGCUACAUUCGCAAACCCAAAUAAGAAACAGAUGAUUAAUCAAUACACGUUUCUGAGUCAAAACAUUGAAGUGAUUUGAAAGAUGAGAUUUUUACCUAGUGGAGAUAUUGAAGAGGAUCUCAGAACCUUCGAGGCUCUGAUGGCGAGUGAGUUCAUCUGCGAAUUGCAAUGAUCCUUUGAGAUUAGGGUUUAUACGUUACGGCGAUGGAACAAUUUUGAAUUCAGACCAAUUAAGAUUAAAUCAAAAUUAAGCUGAGAAAUGAGAAAUCAGGAUUUGAGGUAAGAAGGAAAUGGCGUACCAGUGAAUGUGAGAAGAGAAGGAGAGAACGCAACACAGAGAGGAGAAAGAGGAAGAAGAAGAAGAAGAACAAGAACAAAACGACGAAGAGAUCUGAUUCGUUAAACCCUGCGGUGAGCCGAGGUUAGAGUUAGAGGACGACGGGAAACUUUAGGUUGUGUUUUGAUUUUACCAAUUUAACCUUCGUUUUUUUUUUUUUCUGAUGAAUGAAAAUGAGAAGAAAUGGGACCACUUUACAAAUUACAAGACCAUAAAGAUUUUAGAUUGUCGACAAAAAAAAAAAAAAAAAACAAAAAAAAAAAAA
RNAcentral lists this long non-coding RNA (35159 nucleotides) under Capsella rubella. Its description in RNAcentral is "long non-coding RNA (CRUB_LNC002341)". The record is from RNAcentral. Lineage: Eukaryota; Viridiplantae; Streptophyta; Magnoliopsida; Brassicales; Brassicaceae.